Molecule: ribosomal RNA, 450 nt
Filed under: uncultured bacterium
Lineage: Bacteria
Description: partial 16S ribosomal RNA
Rfam family: Bacterial small subunit ribosomal RNA
Source: RNAcentral
GUGGGGAAUAUUGGACAAUGGGCGAAAGCCUGAUCCAGCCAUGCCGCGUGUGUGAAGAAGGUCUUCGGAUUGUAAAGCACUUUAAGUUGGGAGGAAGGGCAGUAAGUUAAUACCUUGCUGUUUUGACGUUACCGACAGAAUAAGCACCGGCUAACUUCGUGCCAGCAGCCGCGGUAAUACGAAGGGUGCAAGCGUUAAUCGGAAUUACUGGGCGUAAAGCGCGCGUAGGUGGUUUUGUAAGUUGGAGGUGAAAUCCCCGGGCUCAACCUGGGAACAGCCUGCAAAACUGCAUGACUAGAGUACGGUAGAGGGUAGUGGAAUUUCCUGUGUAGCGGUGAAAUGCGUAGAUAUAGGAAGGAACACCAGUGGCGAAGGCGACUACCUGGACUGAUACUGACACUGAGGUGCGAAAGCGUGGGGAGCAAACAGGAUUAGAAACCCCAGUAGUCC